Molecule: small nucleolar RNA, 213 nt
Filed under: Spizellomyces punctatus DAOM BR117
Lineage: Eukaryota; Fungi; Chytridiomycota; Chytridiomycetes; Spizellomycetales; Spizellomycetaceae
Description: Small nucleolar RNA SNORA53
Rfam family: Small nucleolar RNA SNORA53
About the family: The snoRNA ACA53 belongs to the H/ACA family of pseudouridylation guide snoRNAs.
Source: Rfam by way of RNAcentral
CGCACAUUCCUUAGAUCCCUCAUCAUAGAAAGGGUAGGCCAGACCAUCGGUCUGUUGCCGUAGCUCUUUCUCCCAGUCUUCGCUGGGUAUUGGUGAGGCAUGAGUCAUAAAUGUGCAAAAUCAGUAUACCUCUUUUGCUGCCCUAUGUGGUGGUCGUUGCUCGCUAAUUUCUGGCAGCCUUAACUUCGACCACCGCGGCGUUCAAGGGACAUU